UAGUCCCAACCCUAAACGGUGUGAACUUGGUGUGGGGGGAAUUGACCCCCUCCGUACCGGAGCUAACGCGUUAGGUUCACCGCCUGGGGAGUACGGCCGCAAGGCUAAAACUCAAAGAAAUUGACGGGGGCCCGCACAAGCGGAGGAGCAUGUGGCUUAAUUCGAUGCAACGCGAAGAACCUUACCAGGGCUUGACAUAUACCUGCACGCCUCCUGAAAAGGAGGAAGCUUUCGAAGGUGGUAUACAGGUGCUGCAUGGCUGUCGUCAGUUCGUGCCGUGAGGUGUUGGGUUAAGUCCCGCAACGAACGCAACCCCUGUGUUUAGUUGCUACCGACGGUGUUAAGCCGUCGGGCACUCUAGACAGACUGCCCGUGCAAGCGGGAGGAAGGUGGGGAUGGCGUCAAGUCAGUAUGGCCCUUACGCCCUGGGCUGCACACGUGCUACAAUGGUGGGAACAAUGAGAAGCAAAGCCGCAAGGUGGAGCAAAUCUCCAAAGCCUACCCCAGUUCGGAUUGGAGUCUGAAACUCGACU
Molecule: ribosomal RNA, 533 nt
Filed under: uncultured bacterium
Lineage: Bacteria
Description: bacterial SSU rRNA
Rfam family: Bacterial small subunit ribosomal RNA
Source: RNAcentral